This is a non-coding RNA of Triticum urartu, 1685 nucleotides long. Lineage: Eukaryota; Viridiplantae; Streptophyta; Magnoliopsida; Poales; Poaceae. The record is from RefSeq and is a predicted model, not a curated record.
CCCUAUAAAUACAGGUGCCCUUGUGCCUCCGCUGCUCAUUGCGUUCGCUUCCGGUUUUCUUCUUCUUCUUUCAGCAGUAGUGCCGCUUCUCUGUUCGGCGAUGGCUGGGCCUGCUGCGGUUCGAUCCGGCCAACGCCGUCGGGGCCGUCCUCCUGGGAUUCGGGCGGCCCUUAUUGUCCGUGUGCGCCGCGCUGCCGGCCGCGUUUCUUCCGUGGAUUCGUCGUCGACGAUGGCAUUCGCUGGUGGGUGUGGCCAGGCAGCUGUAGUUGAUUCGGGUUGCCGCCUCCGGUCUGCUACUCGCCGGCCGUUUCGUUCUUCUCGGCCUGGUUGUCGUUGUCUUAAUUGGUUGAUGCAUGUUGUAUGUGUUCAUCGAUUGGAUUCAUGUCAAGAUGUUAAUGUGGACGUUGAUAGUCGUCGUCGGGAGAUUUCAUUAGGGAAUCGACCUGUAGAUUGUACCAUUGGUUCUGUUGUCAGUGUGUGUUCUUCUUCAGCGGUCGACGGGUUCGCUUCUGCUGUUCGGUCUGUCAGUGGGCGAUCUUACAGUUUAUCUGCCGAAGCUGUCGACGGUUUGAAUGUUUGUCCUUCCGGUUUUUCUGCUGGUGGUUAUCCUCAUGCCUCUUUGGUUGGUGGUACGUCUUCCUGCUGUCGUCUAAGAGUGGUGCCCUUGCGUGCUGCUGGUGCCUUCGGUCGACCAUUGUUGUUGGUUCUUCUUCUUCGUCUGAUGGCUUUGUUUCUGCUGGUCGGCUCUCUGUUGUGCGAACUGAAAAUACUUGCCAUUUGGCAGCCUCAACGAAACACAACGGUGACUCAUUCAUCUAUAUAUGCUCUAUAUAUUACCAGUUGGACACUCUCGACCAAUAUCAACUGAGUACACCGCAAUGGACGAAGCUUAUCAUCCCCAGAGAGCGUCCUCCAUGGCAAAGCAAGUUAAGAAGAAGGGUAAACAUCCGGCACUGAAUUCUAAUCAUGGAAGCGGAAGUACCUCGGAUGAGAAUCUUAUAGUGUAUAUUCCAAGACGACCAAUGCUUGAAACAGUGAGUUAAACAAUUGGCCUAAAAGUACAAGGGUACACCUGUUGGUACGUUCAUGAAGGUAUGAUACAAGCGUCCGUACUAAUUGCUCUACCACGUCAGAAAGAUAGCUUCAGAGAAUCGUCCAUUACAUAUGAAGGAGAAGCAGCUAAUACAGAAGAUGAAGCAAUGGAAAAAUCAGCUCAGGUGGCCUUAGAAUGCAUCUGUGCAGACUAUAAUAUUUCUAUCAAUGAUCAUAAUUACUAUGUUCUUGAAGUCACAAAGGAAAGGCUAUUUACAGCAAGAGAGAAGGCUCAAACAAAACAAUGGCAAUUCAAUAUGGCCCGCCAGCAAGUAAACACACAGCAAAACGAGUUUGCAAGACAGACAAUGAUUUUGGCAAAGAUAUGCAAUGGCUUCUUUGAUAUAUUACCACUUCGUAUGUAUCCCCAGACAGCGACGAUCCCAUUAUCACAUAUACAGGCACGCACCCUUCCGUCGGACGUAUGCAAGAACUUGCAAAAUCACUUUAUCAUUAUACCACAGGCACCAAUCCUGCAGGAGGAUAUACUAGGAUGAUCUAAUCCACUAGCAGCUACUUCUAGCUUAUCUAUGCAAUGUGUUUGUGUCUUUAUAUACAGUUCUCUGUCCGCAGCAAACUGUAUGUAGUUUGAA